GCCUCCGUUGCUUAGGUGGUAGAGCGUUGCCUUGGUAAGGCAAUUCAGAAAGGAAAUAUCCUUUUGAGCUUAAAGGUCGCGGGUUCAAAUCCCGCCGGGGGCU
Molecule: transfer RNA, 103 nt
Filed under: Promethearchaeota archaeon
Lineage: Archaea; Promethearchaeati; Promethearchaeota
Description: Candidatus Lokiarchaeota archaeon tRNA-Thr
Rfam family: tRNA
About the family: Transfer RNA (tRNA) molecules are approximately 80 nucleotides in length. Their secondary structure includes four short double-helical elements and three loops (D, anti-codon, and T loops). Further hydrogen bonds mediate the characteristic L-shaped molecular structure. tRNAs have two regions of fundamental functional importance: the anti-codon, which is responsible for specific mRNA codon recognition, and the 3' end, to which the tRNAs corresponding amino acid is attached (by aminoacyl-tRNA synthetases). tRNAs cope with the degeneracy of the genetic code in two manners: having more than one tRNA (with a specific anti-codon) for a particular amino acid; and 'wobble' base-pairing, i.e. permitting non-standard base-pairing at the 3rd anti-codon position.
Source: RNAcentral